GGUAGUCCUAUUGUAGUCAUUAC
RNAcentral lists this non-coding RNA (23 nucleotides) under Arabidopsis thaliana (thale cress). Lineage: Eukaryota; Viridiplantae; Streptophyta; Magnoliopsida; Brassicales; Brassicaceae. The record is from RNAcentral.